This 423-nucleotide ribosomal RNA is filed under the name uncultured bacterium. RNAcentral's name for it is "bacterial SSU rRNA". It matches the Rfam family "Bacterial small subunit ribosomal RNA", at positions 358 to 795 of the family's 1533-position model. The record is from RNAcentral.
GGAAUUUUCCGCAAUGGGCGAAAGCCUGACGCAGCCAUGCCGCGUGUGUGAAGAAGGCCUUCGGGUUGUAAAGCACUUUCAAUUGGGAGGAAAGCUGUGACGUUACCCUUAGAAGAAGCACCGGCUAACUCCGUGCCAGCAGCCGCGGUAAUACGGAGGGUGCGAGCGUUAAUCGGAAUUACUGGGCGUAAAGCGCGCGUAGGCGGUCUGUUAAGUCGGAUGUGAAAGCCCCGGGCUCAACCUGGGAACUGCACCCGAUACUGGCAGACUAGAGUGCGGGAGAGGGAGGUAGAAUUCCACGUGUAGCGGUGAAAUGCGUAGAUAUGUGGAGGAAUACCAGUGGCGAAGGCGGCCUCCUGGCUCGACACUGACACUGAGGUGCGAAAGCGUGGGGAGCAAACAGGAUUAGAUACCCCUGUAGUC